Long non-coding RNA from Mustela lutreola (European mink), 477 nucleotides. RefSeq lists it as uncharacterized. NCBI's taxonomy places the organism in Eukaryota, Metazoa, Chordata, Mammalia, Carnivora, Mustelidae. The transcript is spliced from 3 exons. The record is from RefSeq and is a predicted model, not a curated record.
CCUUGGGGAGAGGGGCCAUGCGGAGCCCAAAGUCUUCAUCCAGUUUGGGGGGAGGGGGGCGCGGCAGGAUUAGAGCCCCAGCCCGGGAAUCAGCCUGGAGUGGCUAUGCCCUUGCCGCCACUAUGGUCCAAUCUUAUAGCUGGGCCUGGUGAGCCAAGAAGAGGCAGUCUUCAGUGCUGCCAGAUUGACUUUCCAAAAGCACAGCUUUGAGCAUACCUUUCCACUCCUCAGAACUGGCAGUGGCUGCCAACUGCUAGCAGAUUCCGUACCCUGGAGGUUUUCUGGACUGAGUUUACAACAUAGUGAUUCAGCAAUUACCUGCUUUAUGAAAUGCUUACCGUGAUACCACUUUGGGUCUUAUUCCUUCUUAAAAAAAUCUUCCUUUCCCCUAUGACCCAGCAAUUGCACUAUUGGGUAUUUACCCUAAAGAUACAAACGUAGUGAUCCAAAGGGGCAUGUGCACCCGAAUGUUUAUAG